UACGGAGGGGGCUAGCGUUGUUCGGAAUUACUGGGCGUAAAGGGCGCGUAGGCGGUUCGCUAAGUUGGAUGUGAAAACUCUGGGCUCAACCCAGAGCCUGCAUCCAAAACUGGCGGGCUAGAGUUCUGGAGGGGGUAGCGGAAUUCCUGGUGUAGCGGUGAAAUGCGUAGAUAUCAGGAGGAACACCGGUGGCGAAGGCGGCUACCUGGACAGAAACUGACGCUGAGGCGCGAAAGCUAGGGGAGCAAACAGG
Molecule: ribosomal RNA, 253 nt
Filed under: uncultured bacterium
Lineage: Bacteria
Description: partial 16S ribosomal RNA
Rfam family: Bacterial small subunit ribosomal RNA
Source: RNAcentral